This 1238-nucleotide ribosomal RNA is filed under the name metagenome. Its description in RNAcentral is "bacterial LSU rRNA". It matches the Rfam family "Bacterial large subunit ribosomal RNA", at positions 1708 to 2925 of the family's 2925-position model. The record is from RNAcentral.
GGGAACUCGGCAAAUUACCCCCGUAACUUCGGGAGAAGGGGGGCCGGACACGUGAAGCAACACGCUUGUGGAGCGUGGUAUGGCCGCAGAGACCAGGGGGAAGCGACUGUUUACUAAAAACACAGGUCCAUGCGAAGAAGUAAUUCGAUGUAUAUGGACUGACGCCUGCCCGGUGCUGGAACGUUAAGGGGACCUGUUAGCUCUUCGGGGCGAGGCGGAGAACUUAAGCGCCAGUAAACGGCGGUGGUAACUAUAACCAUCCUAAGGUAGCGAAAUUCCUUGUCGGGUAAGUUCCGACCUGCACGAAUGGCGUAACGACUUCCCUACUGUCUCAACCACAGGCCCGGCGAAAUUGCAGUACGAGUAAAGAUGCUCGUUACGCGCGGCAGGACGGAAAGACCCCGGGACCUUUACUAUAGCUUGACAUUGGUAUCUGAGUUAAUUUGUGUAGGAUAGGUGGGAGCCUGUGAAGCUCGUACGCCAGUACGGGUGGAGGCAAUCUUGAAAUACCACUCUGGUUGAUUCGGGUAUCUAACUUCGGACCGUGAUCCGGUUCAGGGACAGUGUCUGGUGGGUAGUUUAACUGGGGCGGUUGCCUCCUAAAGAGUAACGGAGGCGCCCAAAGGUUCCCUCAGCCUGGUUGGCAAUCAGGUGUUGAGUGUAAGUGCACAAGGGAGCUUGACUGCGAGACUGACAGGUCGAGCAGGGACGAAAGUCGGGACUAGUGAUCCGGCACCGGCAUGUGGAAGCGGUGUCGCUCAACGGAUAAAAGGUACCCCGGGGAUAACAGGCUGAUCUUCCCCAAGAGUCCAUAUCGACGGGAUGGUUUGGCACCUCGAUGUCGGCUCGUCGCAUCCUGGGGCUGUAGCAGGUCCCAAGGGUUGGGCUGUUCGCCCAUUAUAGCGGUACGCGAGCUGGGUUUAGAACGUCGUGAGACAGUUCGGUCCCUAUCCGCCGUGCGCGUAGGAUACUUGAGAAGGGCUGUCCCUAGUACGAGAGGACCGGGACGGACGAACCUCUGGUGUGCCAGUUGUCCCGCCAGGGGCACGGCUGGUUAGCUACGUUCGGAAGGGAUAACCGCUGAAAGCAUCUAAGCGGGAAGCUCGCUUCAAGAUGAGGUAUCCCACCCACACUUGUGUGGGGUAAGGCCCCCAGCUAGACCACUGGGUUGAUAGGCAGGAAAUGUAAGCCCGGUAACGGGUUCAGUUGGCCUGUACUAAUAGGCCGAGGACUUGAAC